GCCAGGCGUGGUGGUGCGUGCCUGUAGUCCCAGCUACUCAGGAGGCUGAGGCAGGAUAAUUGCUUGAACCCAGGAGGCGGAGGUUGCAGUGAGCCGAGAUUGUGCCACUGCACUCCAGCCUGGGUGACAGAGCGAGACUCUGUCUCAA
Molecule: non-coding RNA, 148 nt
Filed under: Homo sapiens (human)
Lineage: Eukaryota; Metazoa; Chordata; Mammalia; Primates; Hominidae
Source: Rfam by way of RNAcentral